This is a non-coding RNA of Trichomalopsis sarcophagae, 47 nucleotides long. NCBI's taxonomy places the organism in Eukaryota, Metazoa, Arthropoda, Insecta, Hymenoptera, Pteromalidae. The record is from Rfam.
AAAUCGGUCCUUUUCAGGACCACUAUAAAAUAUUUAACUUAUAAUAU